Bombus terrestris (buff-tailed bumblebee) is the source of this 445-nucleotide long non-coding RNA. RefSeq lists it as uncharacterized. The transcript is spliced from 2 exons. The record is from RefSeq and is a predicted model, not a curated record. Lineage: Eukaryota; Metazoa; Arthropoda; Insecta; Hymenoptera; Apidae.
CAGUCUGGAAUUCGAGAAAAACACAGUAUUUUUUUAGAAAGUUCAUUAUAGCACACUAGCGCUUCACGCGGUGCAGUACUAACAAACCUUUUUCUCUCUAGCACGUGAGGCUCACACAUGCGUUCCUUCUCCAGAAAGAUUACAGAACAGGUAAUCGUAACUCACCUCCACUAAGUCGGUUCUAUCGUAACUACUGAACGGAUCCAUUAUUAAGUUCAUUCGAUUCUUCAACUAAGCAAAUACAAAGACUGUCGUACAAACGUAACAAUAUGUUCGUUACAGAAAAUUGUCACGAUUUACGCGAAGGUAAAUGUAUGUCACAGCGCGGCGUGAACAAGUCGCAUCACUGUCUGUUGGAAAACAGAUCGAAAACAAUUAUACCUCAAACUAAACACGAGGUCGCGGCGUUGUCGCGCAACGCGAUACUGAUCGCCGGUCGCCGAAA